CGAGCUUUCGCAAUGUUUAAAUCAGCGAAGGUAGAGAUCAAAAAAGAGCAUCAAGUGUUGAUGGUUAAUAAGACCACUAGUUUUAAUAAAAAGGGCAAGGGAAAGAAAGGGAACUUCAAGAAGAAUGGCAAGCAAGUUGCCACUCCCAUGAAGAAGCCCAAAACUGGACCUAAGCCUAAAGCUGAGUGUUUCUACUGCAAAGGGAAUGGUCACUGGAAGCGGAACUGCCCCAAAUAUUUGGCGGAUAAGAAGGAUGGCAAAGUGAACAAAGGUAUAUUUGAUAUACAUGUUAUUGAUGUGUACUUUACUAGUGUCCAUAGUAGCCCAUGGGUAUUUGAUACC
RNAcentral lists this ribosomal RNA (342 nucleotides) under Triticum aestivum (bread wheat). Its description in RNAcentral is "partial small subunit ribosomal RNA". Lineage: Eukaryota; Viridiplantae; Streptophyta; Magnoliopsida; Poales; Poaceae. The record is from RNAcentral.